UACGGAGGGUGCAAGCGUUGUUCGGAAUCACUGGGCGUAAAGCGCGUGUAGGCGGCUAUCUAAGUCUGAUGUGAAAGCCCUGGGCUUAACCCAGGAAGUGCAUUGGAUACUGGGUAGCUCGAGUACCGGAGAGGAGGGUGGAAUUCCUGGUGUAGCGGUGAAAUGCGUAGAUAUCAGGAGGAACACCGGUGGCGAAGGCGUCCCUCUGGCCGGAUACUGACGCUGAGACGCGAAAGCGUGGGGAGCAAACAGG
RNAcentral lists this ribosomal RNA (253 nucleotides) under uncultured bacterium. RNAcentral describes it as "partial 16S ribosomal RNA". It matches the Rfam family "Bacterial small subunit ribosomal RNA", at positions 524 to 776 of the family's 1533-position model. The record is from RNAcentral.